GAUGAACGCUGGCGGCGUGCUUAACACAUGCAAGUCGAACGGAAAGGCCCUGCUUUUGUGGGGUUCUCGAGUGGCGAACGGGUGAGUAACACGUGAGUAACCUGCCCUUGACUUUCGGAUAACUUCAGGAAACUGGGGCUAAUACCGGAUAGGAGCUCCUGCUCCAUGGUGGGGGUUGGAAAGUUUCGGCGGGUGGGGAUGGACUCGCGGCUUAUCAGCUUGUUGGUGGGGUAGGUGCUUACCAAGGCUGUGACGGGUAGCCGGCCUGAGAGGGGGAACGGGGACCAUGGGACUAAGAGACGGCGCAGUCGGGUACGGGAGGCAGCAGGGGGGAAUAUGGCACAGUGGGCGCAAGCCUGAUGCAGAAGCGCCGCGUGCGUGAUGACGGCCUUCGGGUUGUGAACAGCUGUCGCCUGAGACGAAGCGGGAGUGACGGUACUGGGUAAAGAAGCACCGGCUAACUACGUG
RNAcentral lists this ribosomal RNA (468 nucleotides) under uncultured bacterium. RNAcentral describes it as "partial 16S ribosomal RNA". It matches the Rfam family "Bacterial small subunit ribosomal RNA", at positions 28 to 507 of the family's 1533-position model. The record is from RNAcentral.